This is a non-coding RNA of Leptonychotes weddellii (Weddell seal), 8387 nucleotides long. The record is from RefSeq and is a predicted model, not a curated record. Lineage: Eukaryota; Metazoa; Chordata; Mammalia; Carnivora; Phocidae.
GAGCUGAAGGCAGACGCUUAACGACUGAGCCACCCAGGCGCCCCUACAUUUAUACAUUCUUUGUCCAAGUUUAUUUGCAGUCUUUUUCUGCAAAUGUAUUUUCUACUUCUGUGUACUACUAUAUCAACUACUAAUGAGUCUAUUCACAGUGAGUAUUGCUGGUUUUUUUUUUCCCCCAGAGAUAUACCGCAUUGUUUCCCAGAAGCAAAUGUCAGACAGACGUGAAAAUGACAUGUCUCCAAGCAACAAUGUGGUUCCUAUUCAUGUUCCACCAACCACUGAAAACAAGCCAAAGGUGCAGUGCUGUCAGAACAUUUAAGGCGUUUCUCUUCUCCCCUAGAAGGCUGUGUAUAGUCCAUUUCCCAGGUCUGAGAUUUAAAUAUAUUUGUAAUUCUUGUGGUCACUUUGUGUUUUAUUACUUCCUCAUACUUACGAAUUUUUCCAUGUCUUAAGUCUUUUGAUUUUAGCUUUAUAAAAUCAUCCACUUGCCCCGAAUGACUGCAGCUUUUUUUCAUGCUAUGGCUUCACUAGCCUUAGUUUAAUAAACUGAAUGUUUGGAUUCCUCAGUUAUUGUUUACUUUUCAUCAUGGAAGCCUGUCACUGUAGGACAUACUAGAACUUGAUCACUUGAAGCUCAGACCUAUUGGUCUUGAUCAAAUCAAACUAAGAAGACUUUAGAAGAAAUAAGCUAUCAUUUUGCCACAGAGCAGCUUAUAAUGAACAGCUUACAAUUCAUACACUCUUCUCUCAAUGCAGUGUAUAUUUCCACAAAUCUAAGAAUUGCCCUAUAAACACAGCAGGAUUUUGAGAGCUUGAAAAUUUUCCAUUAUUCUGGAAGUCAGUUUCUAAAAUGCCUUAAUAAGGUUAAGUAGUUUAGUAAAUUUUGUCUUUUAAUUUUUGUAAGCAUCAGAGUUGAUUAGAGAGGGGGACACUUUUUUCUGAAUAAGAAUUAUCUUAAUAAACAAAAGACUGUUUAUGGUUUCAGUAGCAGUGUGGUUAUGGAGCCAUAUGUUAAACAAUGCUGCCUGGCAGGCUGGGAACUUGAGAGACCGGUGGAAUUCCAUCUGAGAUGCCUCUGUUGCAAUGAUCAGGCAGACCAGAUCACUGAACUCAUCUAAUUUCCCAGCAGUAGAUUAUGUGGCAUUUUAUUGCUCAGGCAAUAACUGGUUUAAUGCUGUUAGUAUCAAAUUGUGAAGUGUUAAUUUUGUCUUAAAACCUUCCAGUAAAUGAAAUGCAACCUAGUUUUAUCACCGUAUCUAUCAGCAGGCAUGGAUAAUUAUUUUAACUAUGCUGAUUUUUGAGUUUUGCAGUAUAUUAUGGAAUACAGUCCAGUUAAAUAUCUGGUUUCAGUAUGUCUAAGGAAUAUAGUGAGAGGUUAAUUUCUGCUCAAGUGGUACCACUUAAAGGCAUGUAUUCUAGUACGUAGUACCUUGAGUUUAAAUAGAAUGCAUUUAGGCAUUAUACAAACCUGAACUACUUUUUCCCCACUAUAUUAUUGAAAUCAGUGGAGCAACUCGUUUCCCAUUUAGAAAUGUGCACACUAAUACUGAGUUUUACUUUGUUGUGGAUAAUAUUAAGCACUUACUCUGCAGUGUUCUGAAAGUUGUGUCAACUGAAUUGAUACUAUUCAGGAUGGUGGAAUAUCCCCCAAGUACAAAAAUACAUGUGUUUGGGCUUGCAUAGAUUACUAUGUUUCAUAGUUAAUCUGUCUUUUGCGGUGCUCAUGACGUGUGGGGCACAUGACAUGUGGGGCACACGGAAGGCAUUGCUGUGGUCAGUCUUUUGGUUUUCUUCUGUAGCCAUUUAUUAUUUUAGAGUUGGUUGGUUAUGAAGAUACUAUUAUCUAUUUGUAAAUCGCUACUUUGUAUUUUAUGCAUGCUCUGUAACUUGAUUUAUUUUUAUCUUUAUUUUAUUUUUUAGUUAUUGAUUUGGAAUAUAUUCACAUUCUAAUAAACAGUUAUAGGGGGACUAUUCUUUAUGUUGUCAGAUUACAUUUUUCCUUUGAGUGCUUUGGAUGCAGCCAUGGAAUAUUUGAUUCUGAUGAGUAAGAGCAUAGGUCCUUGCAUUACAGAGUAAACACUAAAUUGGAGGCAUCAUUGUGUGAAUUCAGCUUUGAUUUUAGACAUACGUUUCAGUUAUGCUUUUCUUGGAAAAAGUAUCACCAAAAACAUUAAAGGAAGUAAUCUUUGUACUUUCAUAUAUAACAGUGUCACCAGACCCGGGAAGGGGCAUUUACUCGAAAUUGGUAGUAAAUCUUUCACAAAAUUAUUUAAAAGAGGGAAACUCUAGGUGGUGAAUUGAAAAUGAGUAACUUUGAAUUUUUAUCAAGUAUAGACUUAAUGUUGCUGUGGCAUGGUUGGAUCUUGGGAGAAUUCCAAGAACCCUUUAAGUAGUAGUAGAAAAUGUCUUUGAUUGCAUCUUAACAGUGUCUUCAUUCUGAAUAGUAUCUCAGGAGACAAACUGUCUCAAGUAAGAAACAUUAAGUUUUAAAAUAUGACAGUGUAGGGUUCAAGGUAGUUUAGAAGUGUUUUGCUGCUUGACCCUGCUUUUCAGUCAUUUUAACUUUGAAUUUUUUUUUAACCUAUUCUGAAAAGCCAGUUAGCCAUCUUGACUUGAUUUAAACAUGUCAUUGGUCUCAAGUGCUAUCUAUGAUUUUAUUUUAAUAAUAGUAGUUACAACUCAGUAGGGGUAAGUUAUCAUUAGCCAUUGCAUUGUGUAUGCUAAAUUCUAAUUCUAAGAAGGGGUGCUAGCUGGUGACUUAGGCCAGCGGUCUUUUAAGUUCUGAAGGGUUCUGCAGAAAAGUUAGACGUCUGAGUUUAGAUUGUCCAUCAGAGCUUGUCCUAUUUAUUGUAUCAGUGGGAAAACGAAUAUUUUAAUUUUGUCUUCAGUGACUUGUAUUUACAAAAUACAAAUGCUCUCAAUGGUUUGAAUGUUGUCAUAAUUUCUUCCAUCUACCUUAAAGAGAAAAAAACAGUUUAGGCCGUUUUGGCCAGUACCAGAAGCAGAAUAAUUCAAAGCCUGGGUUGAUAUUAAGAACUUAUUCCAGCCUGUUAGGUUUCAAUUUACGGAGUUUUGUUUGUUUUUGUUUUUUAAACACAGGAAGAAAAUAGAGAUUGGUUAUUUGAUGUCUCACAAACAUUUUAAGCCUGAAGAAAAUUCGAAACAAAUUACGAAUUUUGUAUAAGGAUUAUGCAUGGCAUGUAUUCCCUGUAUGGGGGGAAAAAAAACAAAGACCAUGAAAGGAUCCUCUUCUAUCACAUGCUUUAAUGGGAUAGCAUAAUAGGCUAGUGCUAAAAAGAGGAGGGCUGAUUUUUGUUACCUUGGUUGGGUUGGUGCUGGUACCACACGCUUGCUGGGAUUUGACAGGUCACGUUUUCCACUCACCUAAAGGAUAUGCUAAAUAAACUGAAGUUGUCAUUGGAAUGUUUUAAAGAAUGGGUUGUAUUUCCCCAAACUAUAGGAGGCCAAGGGUAACAAUAAAGUUAUAUAAAAUGUCAUUACAGCUUCUGUAAAGGAGAUCAUAGGCUGAGAUCAUUUUAAUUGAAGCAUCCAUUUCAUUGAAAAUUGAAUUGGAGGAUAGAGAAAGAAUAUCUGAAAGGACAUUGAUAACUAGGCAUAUAUUAGAAAGUAUGCUGAACUAUUUGAGUUAGAUUGAAAGUGGCAGGUAUAAUAGAAGAGUGGAUUGGGUGACAAAGACUUGGAUUCUAGUCACAGAUCUUUUAGUCAAUUUCUCUGCACCUCACCUUCUUCCAGUUAGGGGAAUGGGUUAGAUUAUUUCUGGGGUUCAUUCCAGCUCCAAUUUGGCAAUUCUAUGAAUGAACUCUUCAGGGACUAGAGCCAAAUUAUUACACAUUUGAACUCAAGUUUAAUAGAUAAGUAAAAAUCACUUUGCAAAAUGUUUUUGGUCUUACAACUUGAUUAAAAUGUUACUAUUUCCAUGUUAACCUCAUUCCAUAAGAUGAAAGAUUUUAGAACAUUUGCAAAAUGACUGUCAUUUUCAACAAUAUGCAUCAAAGUAUCAUGUGCUUUGGAGGGGAGGAGCACUUGAGGGGCUGCUGUGUCAACUGUAAAUUGAGAACUGCUUGUUUUGGCUUUUAUUGUUAAAAUUCUGCUGGCUUUUAAUAUAUACUUUUAAAAUAUAUUCAUGUCUGGGUGAGAGAACUUUUAAAAAUAUCUUGUGUUUAAUUUUUUACUAUUAUCUCUUACAGGCAUCUGUAAGAAGGUAGAGCAGUCUAUAGAGCUAGCUAUCCGAGAGAAUCAGUGAUUAAAUCCAAGUGUAUAGGUUUUUGUGGCAAAAUACACACGAUAUAAAUGGCAUUAUUUGGCUGUUAGUUUACUAGUCUGAUCAUUUGAAAUCAGUUAUUUAACAUCAUUAUCGGUAGGUCCCAGCACAGAUGUCCUAUAUAUUUGCUGUUAACUACUAUAUGUUACCAGUACCAGUGAUGGUAGUGAAAAUUAGUAGCCAGUAGGAUUCCUUUUCUCUGUUUGAGUCCGUGGAACUUAACUUGCAUGUUACUCCCAUCCCAAUGAGUAAGUGUAUUGUUUUCAGAUUCAUUUCCCUUGACAACUUCCAGUCUCAGGGUACCAUUUUCUCAGAUCUCUCUAGGGAAGUGACAGAUGCUUUUCUUUAAGAAGUUGCUGACCAUUGUAUUAGUCUCUGUGCCAAAGCAUUUCAUCAUAUGGCCCUAAGAAUAUUAUAGAAGGUAAGGUCAUGCCUGAAAUGGGACAGUCUGGAAAGCCCCAGGAAGCAAUACUAUUUCUGCAGACUGUCUUUGAUAUGAAACCAACAAUGCAGGAUCUGUUAGGAUCAUCAGUUACUGGUUUUGGUUUACAUUUAAGUGGAUUCCUAAAUAACAGGAUUUUUAAGAUUUCCAGUCCCUGUGCUUUCUCCUCUCCAAGGCUCUGGAGGGCCAUCUGCUGGGCUAGACAAUGGCUUGGGAGGUAGAAGCUAGAAUUGAGGAGGGAAUCUGACAACCCAUCGCUACAAACUUGGGCUUCCGCCUUCUGUGGGUUUAGAUUGGAGUCCGAGUCUUUCUAGCUCUGCAAGUCAGGGAAGAAAAUGUAUAAUCAGUACCCUACUAAUCACUAUGGACCUGCAUUUAUCUCUGCCCUUUUGUAAUUGCUAAAUUGUAAGAUCCAUAAGCGUGGGAAUGUUCAUUGUUCAUAUUUACAUUCCUAAUACCUAUCCCCCCUGCUAUUCCAUGUCAGAACAAUAAAGAAGGGAUCUAAAAGAGUGAGGGGGCUAAUCCUAGGAUUCAUUCUAGUUUAGCUUGGGGAGCUAUAGUCUGAGAACUACCAUUCAGACUAAAAAAUACUUCAAUUAAAAGUUAUAUAAAAUGAUUAUAUAAAUGCUAUAUAAUAAUUAUACAGAAGUACAAAUGACAGUGUAAUGAAUCCCUAUGUAUCCAUCCAUCCCUUCUGAGAAAGAGUCUGUCUCCUGUUGUCACAUACUGAUGAAAUGGGCCUCUUCUGCCUGCCUUCUGGUUAAAUGAAUGGCUCAUAGAAUGUAUCAUUCUUGAAUCUUCUGUGUUGAGUGCAUAACCUGCAGCCUUUGGUUAUCCUUUAUGGUAUUGGGUAGUAAUCUGAGCCUCAUGAGUCAUAAUCUAAUACCACUAUUCUCAGUAAACACCUUUUUUAGCCUUACAACUCUUGAUCAUGUUUUGUUUUUCACUGAGAUGUCACCCUCCAGCCCUUGAAAAUUGUGUUAGUAAGAUAAUUUCAGAAUGAGUCUUAGUCUCUAACAAAAAUGUAUUAUUCUUGGUUAAACAUUGGGAAUAACUUGAGUGUCAUGUAAGCUUUGUGAACUGACAAGUUGAAAGGCUUAGGUUGACUUAAAUAGGAUUAUGUACAAACUUAGAAAGUAUGAAGGAAAAAUUUUAAACUUAACACUUUUGAAAGCAUCCAGUAAACUAUUUUUUUAGCAUCCAUGUUUUACUAUAAAAUUAAUUCUGCUGCUUCUUUACCAGUGAGGUCACAAGGUUAUGUUUUAAAAGGUCCUAAAACAUAUACCCACAGUAAUGUACUGGGUGAUAACUUCUAGUGGAAAGCUAUUCAUUGCACUUAAUGCAAAUUAGGUGGCCCAUCACUUGCUUUUAUUCCAUUCCAUAGAAGUACCUUUGUGCCUCUGGAGCUGAGCACAGGCUGUAAUAGUUGCCUUUGAGUUUAAAUCUUUGUGAAAGCAGAGAAAUUCUCUAUUUGAACAUUUGAUGUGUAUGAGAUUUUUCAGUAAUUUUUAGACAUGAAUAUGUUGAUCCCAUUCAUUAAAGGAAGAGACUCUUGUUAUAAAUAUGAUAGAACUUGUUCACUUUAUUUUCAAGUAUCUAUUGGGAUAAUUUUCACUUCUGGCUGCCUAAAGUGACCACACAAAAUGUAGUUUAGUCUACCUUUUAAACCUAAGUUGUAGAUUAUAGGCACAUUUUCAAUGUGCAACACAACAGUAGGCAUUCUUGUUAAAUUAGUUUGAGAAAUUCCUUUUAUUUUGUACAAGGUACAGUCCCUUUGCACAGUGAACAAAUAUAUUACAAAUCUGGGUUAUUUAAAAAAGUAUUGCCAUUUCAUAGUCUCACUUAUGCUAUUGUACAAUAAUAGUGUUUUCUUUAUUCAUUUGAAUUGAAUGCAAAUUACUUUGAGUGAAAACUGGUUUCUGUAAAAUAAUCAGAUCUUUCCAAGUUGCCAACAAAAUGCACAGUGCACAUAUUUAGGUUGACCAUGAACCUAUGUGUGACAGUGCUAGACAGAAGUUCCUAACAGUUGCUCUGUAAGAUUGAAAUGUCUUUUACCAGUAACUCUUAGAUCUGUGAAGGCAGCUGUUGUCACCAGAGAUGAAUCACACCCUCUGCCUUUCCCUUCUCUGUAUUGCCUAAUUUGAAUUGUAUUACAUUUCUUUAACAUUCAUAGAAUGCUAGAGCCAGAGGGUUGUUAGAGCUUCUUCCCUCUCUCUCCUUCUCCCCUUUUUAAUACGUGAGGAAGAAAGGAGCCCAGAGAGGGCAAGUAACACUCAAAUCUCUUAACCCCAUGCUUUAACAGUUCCACCAUGCUCCCUCUUGCUGAAUUUUGCCCAUAAGAUAGUUGGCAAACAAGAGGCGACACUUGAAACUGGCAUGAUGCUGCUUGUUUGCAGUGUGCCAGGCAGCAGUUACUGUACAUGCAGGGUAGGGGAAGAAGAUAAAGCCUGGGAUGGAGAUGAAGUUUCUCCUGGCUGAUCUGACUUCGCCAUGCUUCUUGAUCCUUGCUUUACAAAGAUAAUUGAGCACUUGCUGCCGUGAAAUACUGAGGCUUUUGUGGAAAGGAAAUUUGCUAUUGCUGAUCACUUGCUCCCAUGCACACAUGCAGCAUUCAUGUAAGUAUUCUAUGUUUUCCCCUAACAAUAAAAUUUGCUUAAGCCGUGAGUGAAGUGAGGGAGGGGGAUUUACUUAUUUUCUUGCUUUUGCUGGUCAUUGCCCCAACUAAUGGGUUCCAUGGCAGACUUCCAGGUUGUAUCAAGGGCUUCAGGACUCCCACACUUCCUGUAGCUGCUAUUCCAUCUCUGCGGUCAUUUAGUUCCUCUUCUGUUUACCUUUUUGGAAGUAUUUUUUACUGUCUGGCUGUUACCAGAGAAUGGAGUGGUAUAGGGGUGGCCAUUAGUUUCCUCGGUUUGCCCUUCUGGUCUUUAAUUCUUGUGAGGAGGUCCUCUUUUUUAGGGCUUGGGAGUUGGCUCCAGUUUGACUCAAACUGAGCCCCAGUUUACCUGGUUAGUAGUGGAAGGUACAGACACGUCUAAAUACUGGGAUCUGAAGCAUUAGCUCAUUGUACUAUGUUUUUGGCCAUUUCAGUAGGUGGUGGUUUUAAGGUAGAAGUACUUCAUAUCCUUACUUUCUGUUUACUGUAAAGUUUUACAUCAUGUUACAGCAGCUGAUUACAGUCCAUUCUUUUCAUUUAGUUUCAUCAAAAAGCAUCAUGUAAUUUAAGCAGCUUAUUAAACUUGCUAUAUCCACUUUUAUCUAAUUUCUUCUACACUUUUAGGUUCUAUACUACAUCAAGCUCAAGAUUUAUGAAGAAAUGCAUGAAAGCAAGUACUCUUCUGAGUCAAGGGAUGCCAAUCAAAUAAAUUCGGGAGGCCUUUAGGGAUACUUCGUUCUUACCAGUCUGUGACUGCUUGCUUAAAGGCAUCAUCUCAGAGUUCUGUUUCACAUGGAAUGACUCAGGUGUUGGAUGGAUUGAGGAGCUAUGACCAGGCUAGGAAUGACUUGGCAAUGUUCUCAAACUUUGAAUCAGCAAGAUUUGGUAAAGCUGGCCUAGAAAUCAUUAUAGACUGAAAGAGGCUGCUGCGCUUUGAAAACUCCUACUACCACGAAGGGCAGAAGAGGGAAAGUUAAUUUGUAUUUAUUAAAGUCUUAUUUUUAAAAAAU